CGUCUUCCGCGACCGCCGCUG
Molecule: unclassified non-coding RNA, 21 nt
Filed under: Mus musculus (house mouse)
Lineage: Eukaryota; Metazoa; Chordata; Mammalia; Rodentia; Muridae
Description: oocyte_clustered_small_RNA13424
Source: RNAcentral